This 503-nucleotide unclassified non-coding RNA is filed under the name Hevea brasiliensis (rubber tree). The record is from RNAcentral. Lineage: Eukaryota; Viridiplantae; Streptophyta; Magnoliopsida; Malpighiales; Euphorbiaceae.
CUGAAAUUGAAAUCCUAUAGCUUGAUUAUUCUCUCAUAAAUUGGCUCUAUUCAUUGCAACACCACCAAAUUUAAUAAGAAACCUUGGAGAAGAUUCAGAACUUGGGACCUCCAAGCUAGUCAAUCCUUCCAAGUAAUAGUUGAUAUGCAUAUAAUGACCCAAAUCUUUCCACUUUUCAGCCUUAACUACCAGCCCAUAAAGACCCUUCCAUUAAAUAUCUGCGUAUGCCUACCAGAAAAUGCAAUGCUAUAAAUCCAGCCCAAACCGCAGUCAAAGUGACACCUUACCAAAUUUUCACACAACCAUAUAUUACUUCCGAUGCUAACUGAUGCAAUUACCACCACAUUCAACCGAUUUCUUUUCAUCUUCUGUAAAGAGAUACUCCGAGAGAAGGAAUUUGAAGCUAUUUAGGUUUUUCUUUUCAUCUUCCAUAUCUCGCAAAAAAUUGGAAAUUGGAAGAAGGAAAAAAAGAAAAGAAAACAUAGAGAGAGAGAGAGAGAGAG